GACGAACGCUGGCGGCGUGCUUAACACAUGCAAGUCGAACGGACAGGCCCUGCUUUUGUGGGGUGCUCGAGUGGCGAACGGGUGAGUAACACGUGAGUAACCUGCCCUUGACUUUGGGAUAACUUCAGGAAACUGGGGCUAAUACCGGAUAGGAGCUCCUGCUGCAUGGUGGGGGUUGGAAAGUGUCGGCGGUUGGGGAUGGACUGGCGGCUUAUCAGCUUGUUUGUGGAGUAGUGGCUUACCAAGGCUUUGACGGGUAGCCGGCCUGAGAGGGGUACCGGGGUCAAGGGGCCUACGAUAGGCACCAGAAGGCAACGGGAGGCAGUGGUGGGGAGCAUUACGGAGUGAGGGGGAGUGUGUGGCAGAAGCGUCGGGUGCGGGAUGACCGGUUUCGGGUGAUAAACAGCUGUGGACGGAGACAUGGCGGGAGUGACGGUAACGGGUAAAAAAGCACCGGCUAACUACGUG
RNAcentral lists this ribosomal RNA (468 nucleotides) under uncultured bacterium. Its description in RNAcentral is "partial 16S ribosomal RNA". It matches the Rfam family "Bacterial small subunit ribosomal RNA", at positions 28 to 507 of the family's 1533-position model. The record is from RNAcentral.